Molecule: long non-coding RNA, 2038 nt
Organism: Lycium ferocissimum
Lineage: Eukaryota; Viridiplantae; Streptophyta; Magnoliopsida; Solanales; Solanaceae
Exons: 3
Source: RefSeq, a predicted model, not a curated record
CUUUUUCUUUCCUUCAAUACACUGAUAGUUGACAGUACCUUCUAGUUACUGAUUACUUCCAUAUUUUCAGAAAUUAACUUGUUAAUUACCUGUUAUGAUGCACAAGGUAGCAUCCUGUCAAAGGGAAGUUUUAUGUGCUAAAUUGUACUUUUUUUUUUUAAUUUUAUUUUUGAUGAUAAGUAGCUUGUACUAGUUUAUUUCGUGAGCAAUUCGUUAAGGCAGUAAGUGUGCUUUCAUCUCAAAGAAAUAGUCAAGGCUAUUGUUGGUGUCCUUUUUGUUAUUAAAUAUAUGUAUAAGUAUGGAUAUUUCUUAUAAAUGAUUAGCUAUUCAGAACAGAAUAUACGUGACCUACUGUAAAAUUCUAGAGUUUCUAUAGACAUUUGGAUCAGACUUUAUUGUUGCUUUAGAACAUAUAUAGUUAUGCUUGAUCUAAUCAUAACAAUAAGAUAUGUGGAUGAAAUAAGUGACAGAAACAUGAAUGCAUCAGACACCAAUUGCACAUAGAUUGCCUUACCAUAUCUGAUGCAAUGUUUUGCCUUAAUCACUACCUUAACUUUCCGCGCCCCCCCCCCCCCCAACCCAAAACCCUCCUCGGGAAUCUGAAAUUUGACAUCAGCACCUAUCCCCUGACACUCAAACCUUAAUAUUAGACUAUUUUAGAUUAAUUUAGGUCCCUAACUUCCUUAGAAACUUGCUGAACUGUUUUGCUUUUGUUGGAAAGCAUAGAACUGCCUGGCCCUUUAUUUCUCCCUUCCUGGCUAUUAUGUGUGAUAUCAAGCGUGAUUUAUCUGACUAUGGCAUUAAUGAACAUUACUCUUAAAGACGAUGCCGGUGAUUCCACCUUUGUGCUUACUAAACCUAUUGGCUGAAACUUCUCGGAUACUUUUGAGGAUUGAAAUGUCUUUUUUUUCCCUUUUGGGUUGGGUUUUUCACGCUGACAAUUCUUUGUCUGAGACUCUAUAUAUUUUCUUAUUAUUCUGCUCUAUGUGUGUCUAUAUGCUUCCAUUGUUGACUAUGAAUAUUACAUGUCUGUGAACAAUUAAGAUUUGUUGCUUCAUAAUUAGGAAUCUCUUAAAUGAGCCUUGCUCUUCAAAUAGGAAUAUUUUAUGUUGUUUCAGUUAGUCACACUUUAUUGGCCCUUACUUUACUUAUAUGUUAGCCUCUUUCGCCAUGUCUAGCAAUUACCUUUUUAAGUACAUUUACCAAUGAGUAUGCAUCCUGAAGGCAAGGUGAAAGGCUAGAAUUAGAACUUUGGUGAUGUGUGUUUACCCAAUACUGCUAAUUCUUGAUUGUCGAACGCAUACUGGAACCACUUUGCAGAACAAACUACUAUAUUAAGAUGUCAAACUACUUAACGCUCUAAGAAGUCACUGUAUGCAACUUGGUAUAACAAGAUGGAACGUAAAACCGAGCAUGGCUAGAAAGCUUGCAAACUAGAAACAGCAAGCAGUCAGAAAUUAGUAGAAAGCUAUCAGGAGACCUUUUAAAGAGUUUCAAUACUCUGGUAAUGUCAAACUUAAAAUUUGAAGGUGUGUUCUACUACUACAAUUUGAUUAUGAUCUUAGUAUGUUGAGUGUGCCCUUGCAAGUGUUACAAUUGUAACGUGUUACGUGACAAUAGCUGCAUGCUUUUCAACUAUAAUUGUUGUUGAGGAACUCGUGUUGUGGUUAAGAUUUUGAAGUGACCAGUAAGAGUUGCGUAGAUUUGUCAAGUAAAUCCCCUUGUGCACAUUCCUGUUUGUCGAGGAUUUUGACUGAGUUUGCUAUACUCCAUGGCUUCCAUUUAUUGUCUUCCCAGGUGUAUCUUCUUACUUAUCCCGGAGGUUAGGCGGAUAGGAAGACUACACCUUGUCGCCUGUGUUGAUAUUCAAUUUUUGGUACCUGAGAUCGUCACUCCAGCUCUUUAACAGAUGCUUUAAUUUAUCACAUAGGAAAGCUAUCUUUUUUUAUAACCGAGAAAUCUCUGAGUGUCUGUGGCAUAUAGUUUGAAACUCUGAAUAAUGGAUUCCCCCUUUUAUAUUUCUCUGAAAUAGCAGCCU